RNAcentral lists this long non-coding RNA (503 nucleotides) under Phaseolus vulgaris (common bean). RNAcentral describes it as "long non-coding RNA (PVUL_LNC002681)". Lineage: Eukaryota; Viridiplantae; Streptophyta; Magnoliopsida; Fabales; Fabaceae. The record is from RNAcentral.
AUCGAUCUUGUGUCAGGUUUCUCGGUGAGCUAAUGAAAGAAGGAAGACGCUAAGUGGAAUCAAGACGAUGAAAUUUGUAGCUAACAGUUUUUUCAACAAACAAAAUUCUCUACUCCAUGAAUCGGUCAUUGCAUCAGGCAUUAUUCCACAUUUUCGAUUCAUAUUAAUUGCAUUAGAAGAAAGGAAAUGACCGUAGUGGAAUUUCUCGAAGCUUCCUGGUUUCUUGAAAGCCUUUUCAGAUGCACAGAUAAAUUUGAAAACACAUUAAGUCACUUACAGAUGAACUUGUUCGGAAGUUGAAUAAUCUUGACGACGCAUGAGCAUGAGUCAAUAUUCUCUGAAAUGCAACGUCAGUGAUAGUCUCAUAGUUGUACACUGAUUAGCCAUUCUCUUCUUACAUGAACAAUGUAGUAAGAAAACCAAUUCGAGAGGAAUGAAGAACAUUAUUCAUCGAAGGGAAAGAGAGAGAACCACCUUUCCGACGGCGAUGAACGAGAGCUUAC